CACGUAGGGACCAAGCGUUGUCCGGAUUUAUUGGGCGUAAAGAGCUCGUAGGCGGUCGUGUAAGUCGGGUGUGAAAUCUCCGGGCUCAACUCGGAGGGGCCACCCGAUACUGCUCGACUCGAGUCCGGUAGGGGAGUGGGGAAUUCCUGGUGUAGCGGUGAAAUGCGCAGAUAUCAGGAGGAACACCGGUGGCGAAGGCGCCACUCUGGGCCGGUACUGACGCUGAGGAGCGAAAGCGUGGGUAGCAAACAGG
This 253-nucleotide ribosomal RNA is filed under the name uncultured bacterium. RNAcentral describes it as "partial 16S ribosomal RNA". It matches the Rfam family "Bacterial small subunit ribosomal RNA", at positions 524 to 776 of the family's 1533-position model. The record is from RNAcentral.